RNAcentral lists this ribosomal RNA (254 nucleotides) under uncultured bacterium. RNAcentral's name for it is "partial 16S ribosomal RNA". It matches the Rfam family "Bacterial small subunit ribosomal RNA", at positions 524 to 776 of the family's 1533-position model. The record is from RNAcentral.
UACGGGGGGAGCAAGCGUUGUUCGGAUUUACUGGGCGUAAAGGGCGCGUAGGCGGUCAGCACAAGUCAGUUGUGAAAUCUCCGGGCUUAACUCGGAAAGGUCAACUGAUACUGUGCGACUAGAGUGCAGAAGGGGCAACUGGAAUUCUCGGUGUAGCGGUGAAAUGCGUAGAUAUCAAGUGGAACACCGGUGGCGAAGGCGAGUCCCUGGACAACACCUGACACUGAGGCACGAAAGCUAGGGGAGCAAACAGG